Long non-coding RNA from Rhopalosiphum padi (bird cherry-oat aphid), 380 nucleotides. RefSeq lists it as uncharacterized. Lineage: Eukaryota; Metazoa; Arthropoda; Insecta; Hemiptera; Aphididae. The transcript is spliced from 3 exons. The record is from RefSeq and is a predicted model, not a curated record.
CACUUAAAACUAGUCGGCGUAAGUGUAUAUAAAGGCGUCCGAGAUCUCGAUUCCGGCAUAACACAUCUUUUUGUGCAGAUCUAUUCUUUGUUUUCACUUUAAUCCUCAAAAACCAACCAACAAAUCAAAAAUGGGCGCUGAAAAAGUAUCCAUGAACAUCGUUGUCGUCGGACAAGUCCAAUCUGCCAAGGCCAUCAAAUCGGUCGCCAAAGCCACCCCAGCCACCAACCAAUUGAUGAACUGUUAAUUCUAAAAGCCCACAUCAAUCUCAAACUCAAAAAUGACAUAGCCCAAACAGUACAUAGUUCUAUAACAUGUAUUAUAAGUUAUAACAUUGUGUAUUGACAUUAAAAAAUAAAUCAGUCUCUUCUGUCAAUUAA